Long non-coding RNA from Bombus pyrosoma, 6539 nucleotides. RefSeq lists it as uncharacterized. The transcript has 3 exons. The record is from RefSeq and is a predicted model, not a curated record. NCBI's taxonomy places the organism in Eukaryota, Metazoa, Arthropoda, Insecta, Hymenoptera, Apidae.
GUUAAUAAUAAUAUAAAUAAAAAAUAUUAGAAGAAAAUAAAGCAAAUUGUCUUAAAAUGCAUUAAAAUUUUUAUAAAAUUAUACGGCAAUGCUUUAUAAUCAUUUGCUAUACGCGAUUAUUUAUAAGUGACUGGCAUAAUUUACGUAAUUGACCGCAUUGCGUAAGAUAUUUUCCAUGAAAAUCUGUUCCAACUAAAAAUACUAACAUGCCUCAGUAAUUUUGUUUUUGUCUUCAUUUUACUUCAACGCAGUAAAUCUUGAUUAUAUUAAAUUUUAAAUAGUAUCUUGAACCUUGGUCUCCGACGUUUUUAAUUUACAUGUUACUUUUAUUUCAGCCUGAUUAAUUAAUUUAAAUUCUUAAUUUUUAGGUGCUAUUGCAUACAUGAUUAAGUAAAUUUAAACGUAUUUCCAAUGAGUUAUAACUUACAUAAAAAAAUAAUUUAUUUUUAAUUAUAGAGCUAUUUCAUUCUACAAAGUUCUAGAGUCUUUUACAAACAAAAUUUGAUCUCUUUUAACAGUGAAAAAAGAAGGAAGAGAAAAAGAAAGAUUACGUUUCUUUAAUUCCACCUUACUUUAUUAGCACAUUAUAAUCAAGUCAUAAAAUAAUUAUACACCACUUGCAGCUGUUUCUUGUUCUAAGAAUAAAACGUUUCGUGUUCAACCCGUGUUCUUGCAAGGCUGAUCAACAGAUGUAAAAAAAAAAAACAGUGAAUAAUUGUACAUUGCGUAGUAAACAAAGGAAUUCGAACAGAAUCAGAUUAUUCCCAUUCUUCUGGAUCUCCUUAAUUACUAAUAUUUUAAACAUUGCGUGGAAAUCGUUUCUAAGAUUGAUGAAUUUGUCCAUGAGUUUGAGCGAGAAAAGGAAAAUGAAAUUUCUAUAAAAACGAUAAAAUUACGCAAUCCCGUUAAUUGGUAAUUUCUGUUCACUUCGUCAGGGAUGAAUGCAUCUCUGUUACCAUUCGAUCAAUACACACGAUCGUAACGUCGUUAUAAAAUCAAACAAAGUACCAAGAAAUAGUCGUGAAACGCAAAACGAGAAAUACAAAGAAUUUGUCUAAUGAAUUUAAAUCGAUUUCUCAUGCAUCUCCCCCUACCAACAGAUCGGCGGUCGAGUCACUCGUUGACAUAAGAGUCCGUUAACCUUGUCAGUGUCUCACUGAGGUUAUUUAAAUAAUCGACGAAACAUCAGGCGCAACUUCCACGUACGGCUUUACGAUUCAUAGUUUUAAGACCAGGUGUCGCAUUCUACCGUGAUCCCGGCAGGAAUAGAGACGCAUCUUUCGACAUCGUUCGCGCGUACCGCAGCUGCCUUCUUUUCCCAUUGUGUUUUAAUGGGCCACGUGGCAGAGAGAUGUCCGAGUGUUAGUAAAGCGGCACGGAGCCGCUUUUCCACGAACGUGUCGCAACGCUAGAAGGCCAAGCCCCCAUUUAGAAGUUGUUCUUGGCCUCUCCAACUCCCCACCACUGCACACCCUCUCUUUGCCCCACUACUGGCGCCGACCAACUGACAAUACCCCUCUCCUCUCCUAACCUCGCAACGACACUACUGGUUUCCCUAUAUCAAUCAUAUUCAGAGCUUUUACCAAAUAUUUGCUCGUUUCGUGCGAGAUAAACUUCAUGUUUGUAAUUUAAAACAAACCUUGAAUGAUAAUAACAACAUACGCGUCGGUAUUUGAUUAAAUUUGAAAAGCAAACACACAACAUCGCUAGGGAUAUUUUCAAUUUUCAAAUAUCACCAACUGCGGUAUUCGAGCUUGAACAAGCGUUUAAUCGAAAUACCACUAAAUAGUAAUAUUUUGUAGUAAUAGCCGGUGUUCUCCUUUUUCUCUCCAUUUGUACCAAGAAAACGAGAAUUAUUCGCGUGGUAAUGGUCCGAUUAUUCCGUGCCUCUUACGCUGGCUUCGAAAUAGCCGAUCGUUUCUUAAAAACACAGCGAACAGAACACUUUCGCCAGAAUCGUCGUGUCACGAUUAACAAACCUGCAGUUACAAUAAAUAUUCAUCGUUGCGAAUAAAAGGAACGAGUGCCAGUGCCGAUUUCGAGAAACGAUUUCACAUCACGUCAUCGACGAAUUGGUAUUAUCCGGAACCCCAUAAUCGGUUCCACCAAAAGGCUCUUCACAUGUUUACAACCCCUUUUUUCGCGUCAUCGAUAAGUCAGGUUACAAUGUGCUAUCGGUAUCGGUAAAGGUAAUUACUAAGAUAACAUUUUCCACGAAUGUACAAUUCUAGAUACAAAAUCAAUCAAAUAUAAUAUACCUAUAAUGCAUCUUGGCGAAUAAUAAGAAAUAUAUGUAUGUGCACGUACGUGUUAUCUGUCAAGCAUGAUAUUAAAAUUACUUGUUUUAUUUAUUUAAGAUACCAGCGAGAUAUUUCAAUAAUAUCAUAUACUGCUUUCUACAAAUAAAAAUUCUUUUUUUUUUUUACUAUUUUUGAAACAAGAAAUGUAUUGUCUUCGAAUUAUUUUCGAAUCUUGUAAGUAGAAUCGUUCGAAGUUUGUCAGACUCAUAGAGAAUUCGACACCUCUAAUACGAAUCUUUUUUACGCCGUUUAACGUGAAUAUGACAAAUAUUUCAAGAACGUAUCUAGUUAUAUUUUUAUUUUUUAAACAAUAACACCAAAUGUUUAGAAACAUUUUCACCUGAAUUUUAUCUAAUCGUUCGCCCAUUCUAAAAGACAAGCAUAGCAAUUCGAGCUUUUAGUUCUAUCAAACUUUGAGUUUACAAUCUGCCUAAAUAUUUUCUAUGGUUGCAGGUUUGUCAAGUGGAUAUAUGGAAUGAUCAAACAAUUAUUCUGUUUCAUGACGCAAACUCACUUCCUUAUCGAGUAUUCCUUGAAGUAAUAGCCGUCAAUUGAUGACACGUACACGAUAUCGAAAUUAUGUGGUAUUGAAAUAUAUGUACAGUACUUUUAUGAAAGUGCCUACUACGCAUUCAAGCGUUGUCGUUCGCAACUUAUUUUGGAAUUCUAAGAUUCCAUGCUAUUUGCCCGAAGAAUGUUAAUUAAAAAAUCACUUCUGUUGAAUCGCUUAUCGUCGGUAAAAUCGCUUCCUUUUUUUCCCUUUCUUAAUUUUUUCUACGUACCAUAACGUAGCUUUGUUCGCUCGCGUGAGAAAUUAUUUCUCUACAAUAUUCGUUUCUUUCGCGAAAUAAUCUUUCGAUCGUAGAUGCACUUUUCUUAAGAAAGAAGGGGAAAAAAAAAGAAGCAAGAAAGAACGCAAAUUUGUUCAAAGUGAAAAAAGACUGAAAACAAGAUUUUAUCUAUCAAUUAGUACCUAUUACGCAGAUUUGCUCCAGGUAACGUAUAAUUACAUAAGAUGUUAUAUGCGUUUAGCGAAGCAAUUUAGAGCUACUUUUCUUCAAGAAUAAUAAUCAAAGAAUGGAAAGCCGCAACACUGAUAUUUUAUCUAACCGAGCGAGCAAAUCUAUGAAAAGAAUAAUUAGGUCUCGUAAUAUUUCGAUAGAGCGGCAGUAAUUAAAAUUUGCUAGUUUCCGCUUUCUCAAAUUCCAUCGUUUAAAUUCUAUUUUAAUUAGUAUCAAUAUAACGUACAGUAAUUUCGAGAAGUAAAAUAAUAUGCCAAAUUUGUGUAGAUUUUUUCAAUGCCCGCCAGUAAGAAGAGGAAGGUGACCUUUAAACGAAGCUACACACACUUUGGAACCGAAUGAAGAAACUGUAUUUUUCUCUACGCUAUCCGAUACACACUUUUUGAUUCUCCCGCGGAAGAUUAUCAAAGUACUUUGUAUCUGAAAAUAUUUAAUUUCAAAGAUAUUUCAAUGUUAAUUAGAUCGAAUCGAGUGUACGAAAGACAAGGAGGACAUAAACAUAAAAACGCUGAAUUAUCUUUCCUUGUCCUUUAUACGAAAGUUAAAAAGUGCAUCGAACGAUGCAUAGGUCCCGUUUUAAGAAGCAAAGGUCACCUUGAGAUCCCGAACACACAUCCACCUAGACGAGAUUUGCGACCGUCGCGAAGCGUCCCCCUCGAAACAAAGCGAGUUUCGUUCGAAACACUAUUUCCAGUAAAUGUAUAAUUUAGCAGAUGUUUCGCACGGAUCGAUUAGAAUGAGACAGCCUGUAUUUCAAAUGCACAUAAGUGUGAAAUACACAUACAAAUAGUUGUUUAAGUGUAUGAAUAGCGAGUUUGAUGGUAGACGUGUAAUUACGUGUUCUUAGAAUAUGCGCAAAAACGCUGAACUCUAGUUUAAAAGGUUUCGGGAAAAAAUGUAUUUCAAUAUUCAUAGAGUACAUAUUAUGAUUUUUUAUUUAUGUCUAUUUUAAUUUACUGCUUCAAUAACAUCAAGUUCUCCUCGGUACUGCUUUAUAGUUUACAUACAUGCUUCUUGUAUUUAUAUGUUCAAUGAUUGUUAUAUCACAUCCAUUUGCAUCUAGUACAAUAGCACUGCACAUUUCGUUCCACCUAUAAUUUCCAACAUUUUCUUCGUUUCUAAUAAGAUCCUGGCGGAUUAUUUUUAUAAGGUUCCGAGUAUUUAAAUAGAAAGGAAAGAAAGAAGAAAAAUAAAAAGAACGUAAUAACUAUAGGAAUCGAAUUUGUGGAUUGUGUAAAAUAGAAAUACGGCCAUGUUUUGUUCAUUAAUUUCGAUUUUUUACUAUUCACAGUAGCCCUGAUCUUUAUUCUUCCUCGACCAUCUGUUCUCUCCUGUCGUUGGAAUGCUAAGGGGAGUGGAAACGGCCGAAGGAGAGAGAAGGAGAGAAAAAUCUUUCUUCGAGCAACGAGGACUUCGCAGAAUCGGACGUCGUAGUUUUAUUUGAGGAAACAGAACGAGACUCUGAUGGAGGGCCACGAAAUUAGAAGAAAUCUAAGAGAAUAUAUUUUUUGUCCUAUCACGAAGAUUUAGGACGUAAAAAUGCACCAGCGGAAAUAUUUAUAAGAAGAAAUAAUUUCUUUCUUUUUUCCUUGUCGUUCUCACUUAUUAACACAUACCUGUUUAUUACCACGGACAUUUAUCAUUUCUGUGGUUAUCGUUUUAUCAUUCGUACGUAGAUGCUCCAAAUGUGUGCGAACGAAUUAGCUAAAGAUUUGAGUAGGAUUACAUGUGCACAGUGUGCAUAAUAAUAAUUCGUUAUUCGCGGUUUUUUAAUGUAAACGUAACUGUCGACUGUGUAAUAAAGAAUGUACGACACAAAAAUUGCUUAAAAGAGGUUAGGAAAUACACAUCGUUGUAUAUGGCCGACGUUGGAUAAAAGAGAAAAGGUUAGGGUAAUAAAAGAAAAUUGAAAUAAUAAAGAAGCGGUAAUAAAAAAUUAAAGGAUAAACGAAUAAACACUAAGAAACGAUUAUUACGUUCACGUGUGUAAGGAUAAACGAAGAACGGUGGAGUGCAUAAAUUUGGCGAAGAAAAAGCAACGAACGAGUUUUACGAUGCACGUUCGAAGUCAUAAGGUGGUUCGAAGGCAUCAUAAAUCGAGAGAAGGGUUUGGGAUCUACCCUGUUUUCAAGGGGCCUGGCUAGAAAUUCGUCUUCUUGGAAAACGACGAACUGGGCUGAUGACCUAUACGCCGGCGAAAUACAGUUCGUCGUAGCGAAUGCUAAUUUUACUGGUCAACUUCAUCGAUGCCUCUACGGUCCUUUCGUUAUACAGCACUUUUCAGAAACGGCGGCCGACGUUCGCAAAUAUCACAUUGUAUUUUACUUCUCAAUUUUUUUUUAAUAUUUUUAAGUAAUUAUUUACCGACUACGGAUAGUUGAAUUGGGAGCGUAAAAUAUUCGAUAUGCAGCACCAAAGGACGUAAAUAUACAGGAUGAGAAAGUUUUAGUUCAUUUCCUUUUUUUUUUUUUAUUAAUAAAUAUUUUCUAUACUUUGAAGCAAUAAACAAAGUCAAUUUUUUGGUCAAAUCACCAUCUCUUUGUAAACCUUUUGCGAAACAAUUUUAAUUUUCAAAAUCUUACUAGAAUUAAAUGAACCAAUUGGUAUUUGAAUUUCUAUCUAUGAUGAGAAUAAAAGACGGUUCUAGGGAAUUUCGCGGCUAAUUGAGUAAUCACCAUUUAUGAAUGAUACUGUAGCUGGCCUCGUUAUCGGCAAGAUUUCCAGCAAGUAUAAAUGAGAAGAGGUUCCUCGAAUGAGUGGCAACACGGAUUUUAUCACUUACAGAUAAGCGUGAAUUUUAUUUUACAAGCCUUCGCGGAAAUAAACCUGCUUCCGUGAAAGAAUCGGCUUUUGUUGUUGCAAGUAUUUAGAGCAUUACCCUCAGGCUAUUAAUCAAUUAAUAAUUUUUUUCCUCCGGACUAAUUUUAAUUCUGCAUAAGACCAUUUUAACGCAACCAUUGCAAGAAUCAUUGAUCUAACGACGAAAUUACGAAAUUGGAAAUUUUUCCCGCGAAAUACAAAAUUUGCAAAACAUCAAGUAGCAAAUGUAAGAUUACUGUUCCAUUUCUUACACCGCGAAUCUGUUAAAUAUUAACAUUUGCAAUGUUAUUUGAACGCGCAGUGUCUUCAACAAGUCAGUAAAACGAUUUUACAAUGAUAAAUUAUAAAUAUUGAAACAUUGCAUGUGGUCGAAUUUUUAUUACAAACUGGUUCAUUU